GCCUAGCUGGCUCAGUCGGUAGAGCAUGCAACUCUUGAUCUCCGGGUCGUGAGUUCAAGCCCCACACUGGGUG
This is a transfer RNA of Felis catus (domestic cat), 73 nucleotides long. It matches the Rfam family "tRNA". Rfam says of the family: Transfer RNA (tRNA) molecules are approximately 80 nucleotides in length. Their secondary structure includes four short double-helical elements and three loops (D, anti-codon, and T loops). Further hydrogen bonds mediate the characteristic L-shaped molecular structure. tRNAs have two regions of fundamental functional importance: the anti-codon, which is responsible for specific mRNA codon recognition, and the 3' end, to which the tRNAs corresponding amino acid is attached (by aminoacyl-tRNA synthetases). tRNAs cope with the degeneracy of the genetic code in two manners: having more than one tRNA (with a specific anti-codon) for a particular amino acid; and 'wobble' base-pairing, i.e. permitting non-standard base-pairing at the 3rd anti-codon position. The record is from Rfam. NCBI's taxonomy places the organism in Eukaryota, Metazoa, Chordata, Mammalia, Carnivora, Felidae.